Long non-coding RNA from Rosa chinensis, 778 nucleotides. RefSeq lists it as uncharacterized. The record is from RefSeq and is a predicted model, not a curated record. Lineage: Eukaryota; Viridiplantae; Streptophyta; Magnoliopsida; Rosales; Rosaceae. The transcript is spliced from 3 exons.
CCUUAUCAAAAACUUUCUCGAGAUUUCUUUUUUUCUUUAUAAUUGAAGUAGUUUCAUCUCUUAAGCCUCUCUCUCACCUAUCUCUCUUCUGAUUUCUCCUUUCUCAAAACUCAGAAGAGAGAACUAGCAAUUGAUGGAUUUCAACUACUGCAACACAAACGAAUUAAGAUCAAGCUAGGCCUUAUUGUUGGUGGGGGUGAUCAAGCAAUGGCGUUGGUGCCUAUCAUAACCUUUCACGUUUCAAUUAAAGACAGAUCAGGCAAAAGGAGAUGGCCUCAAAUCAACUUCAUACCACAACAUUUUUAAUUUUAGAUCUGCAGGAAUUUAUAAAAUGCAAACAUCAUCAACUGAAGGAGAAGAAAGGAAAACCCUUAGAUCUACAAAAUUACCAUGAAGAACGAUGAAGGAAAGACUCCAGAUUUGCAAAAUCUCAAUGAAGGACCCAAAACAAAAUGAAAUCAAAUGGAGGACCCCAAAAUAAAUAUCCUAAUAUUUGAAUAAUUCAUUAAAUUGAUGAAUUAUAUUUAAUUACAAAUUCAAUUGUUGAUGGGACAUGACUGCAGAUGCAGUAUUGAAACUGGAGUGGGAUCCGCGCAUAUAUUUCACACGGAUUUGUUCGGAUGUGUGAAAAUAACAUUAGCGACGCCAGCAAUACAUACAAAUUUUAAAUCCGUGCUUGUACCGUGUGAAUUAAUCAAUUCACACGGAUUUCUAUGUGCAAUAGUUGUAAUUCACACAGAUUCUUCUCUGUCUCUAUUGGGGGGUUUUUCUAGUAGUG